This 492-nucleotide ribosomal RNA is filed under the name uncultured bacterium. RNAcentral describes it as "partial 16S ribosomal RNA". It matches the Rfam family "Bacterial small subunit ribosomal RNA", at positions 29 to 507 of the family's 1533-position model. The record is from RNAcentral.
AGUGAACGCUGGCGGUAGGCCUAACACAUGCACGUCGAAUGGCCGCACAGUAAGAGCUUGCUUUUAUGGGUGGCGAGUGGCGGCCGGGCGCGGAAUCCCUUGGACUCUACUUUUUAGUGGGGGACACCGUCGGGCAACCUACGUUAAUACAGCAUACGUCCUACGGGUGAAAGCUGGGGCCAUUCGGACUUCGCGCGAUCGAUUGACCCGAUGUCGGAUUAGCUAGUUGGCGGGGUAAAGGCCCACCAAGGCGACGGUCCGUAGCUGGUCGGAGAGGAGGAUCAACCACACGGGAACUAGGACACGGUCCGGACUCCUGCGGGAGUGAGCAGUGAGGAAUAUUGAACAAUGGGCGCAAGCCUGAUCCAGCCAUACCGCGUAGAUGAAGAAGUCCUUCGGGUUGUAAAACCCUUUUGUUGGGAAAGAAAAGCGGCAGGUUAAUACCCCGCUGUUCUGACGGUACCCAAAGAAUAAGCUCCGGCUGACUUCGUG